UGGGCAACCUGCCCCUCNNCNGGGGAUAACCCCCGGGGAAACCGGAGCUAAUACCCGGAUAC
This 62-nucleotide ribosomal RNA is filed under the name uncultured bacterium. RNAcentral's name for it is "partial 16S ribosomal RNA". The record is from RNAcentral.